CCAGUAUGUUCAUUAGUCAUGCCACAAUGUGACUAAACACUUCCGCCCCGUACACCCUCGUCAGGGCAACAAAGGGUACACGCAAGGCAAUACACAGACAUUUACCGUGUGGUUUCUACCGAAUGACAAACUGCUGCAACCACGGAAAUUAAUUUAUCAAUAAAGAUAAUGUCAUAUGUAUAGCUCUUAAUGCCGGGUGAAGCAUGGUUGGAACACCGCCUGUCUCCGUAAAACAGUGGACGACUAUUGUAGUGUUGACGUGUAUUUUGGGGAGGAAUGGAUACAGUAUCAACUUCGGCCCAAUCAUCUUUGAAGGUUCCUGUGAACGAAUGUCCUGGCCGUCAGCCGUCACACACUGCAGUAUCAGGGGAGGGGCGAUGUUCAGCCUGUCUGAUCUCGAGCAGGCUUACGGGCUAAACAUCAAGUCGAAGGCCACGGAGGAACAUCAGCUCAUAUGGAUCGAUCACAGGAACAGGGAAAAGGAAAACGUGCAGAACCAGGAUUGCUGGCUGUUGUCACACUCACUUCUUCUGCAAAACAUGACCUGUAGUGAAGCACAGCACUUUGUUUGUCGUUUGAAUGGUGACCCGGAAUCGACAUGGACGAAAUGGGGUAAAGAGCCGCCUUAUAGAAGAUGUGAGCAGUCAAUGCAAGCUAUAUCUACCCGCCUUCCCCCGAGGACCAGAGUAACCACAGUUUCUCCCCCAAGACGAGGCUACUCAGAUACAGGUUCUUCUUCUGGCUCAGGUUCCCCUUCUGGUUCAGGUUCUUCUUCUGGAUCAGGUUCUUCUUCUGGCUCUAAGUUUCCUAAAAGAAUGAAAAUUCUGGUCAUAUCUAUUGCCUGCAUCCUGCUGGUGGGGAUGUGCGUUGUUGUCUACUGCUUUCUAAAUGAUAUUGGGAAGAGGAUAGGAGUUGAAAGGCGAUGCUCCCAUCGAAGACACAGGAGACGUUACUGAGCUGAUGAAGUGGUUGUUCUGGUCCGUUUGGCCGACAGUGAUAAAUGAAUGGGGAAUGAGUUGCGUGUUACACCGCAACGAACAGUAUUCAGUUAUAUCUCGACGUGUCAGUUUUAUGUACGUUGAAAGUAGACCCUUACCAUUUCAUCGUAGUGAAACUUAUAAUCAGUGCGAAUUUGGGAUUCAAAAGCACGAUCAGCGGAUCCUUGCGCGACUAAGGGAAGUAACCCUGCACAGAGAAUUAUGAUGUUUAAACCGAUUGUGCCAUCCGUACGCGUCCCCCUCCAGGUAACAGAAGAGGCGUCUGAAAUACUGUUUCCUAUCACCAAGUGUGCAUUGACUCCGCAUAAUGUUUCAGAAGGUUGUAUUAUCUAGCCUAAGUUUAACAUGAUAUUCUCGAUAAACGUCAAUGGAAGACGUUCCAACAGUUUGUGGCUUGUCGUAAAAUGCGGCUAUUUCUGAUCAGGUGGCAGGCACGGUGACUCGCUUGACUGUGUGUCAUUGUACUGUGACAGAAUUGAACGUUGCUCAUAAUAUCAAUCACAAGUUUGUCUGGCCCAGAUUCAAUUAUCUACAUGCCUCCUUAGCUUGCAUAUUGUUGUUUGUGGCGUUAAUACAAGAACAAGACAUACAAUAGUCAAAGUACUACCUUUCUUAGUGUUAACGUGGAGCAAUUUACACGUGUCCCCUGUACAUUGUAUUGCUUCGUGUGUAGUAAGGGGCGGUCGGGUAGCCUAGGGGUUAAAGCGUUCGCUCGUCACGCCGAAGAGCAGGGUUCGAUUCCCGACAUGGGUACAAUGUGUGAAGCCCAUUUCUGGUGUCCCCCGCCGUGGU
RNAcentral lists this unclassified non-coding RNA (1790 nucleotides) under Haliotis rufescens (red abalone). Its description in RNAcentral is "uncharacterized LOC124121613, transcript variant X1". Lineage: Eukaryota; Metazoa; Mollusca; Gastropoda; Lepetellida; Haliotidae. The record is from RNAcentral.